GUCAAGUCAUCAUGGCCCUUAUGGGCAGGGCUACACACGUGCUACAAUGGCCGGUACAAAGGGCUGCCAACCCGCGAGGGGGAGCUAAUCCCAAAAAGCCGGUCGUAGUCCGGAUCGGAGUCUGCAACUCGACUCCGUGAAGUCGGAAUCGCUAGUAAUCGCGGAUCAGCAAUGCCGCGGUGAAUACGUUCCCGGGUCUU
RNAcentral lists this ribosomal RNA (200 nucleotides) under uncultured organism. RNAcentral's name for it is "partial small subunit ribosomal RNA". It matches the Rfam family "Bacterial small subunit ribosomal RNA", at positions 1184 to 1382 of the family's 1533-position model. The record is from RNAcentral.